UCCUUCUUAUCGAAGGCAGUUUCCUAAGAGUGCAUCCCUUGCGGGAUUGGCAACAUAGGAUGGGGGUUGCGCUCGUUGCGGGACUUAACCCAACAUCUCACGACACGAGCUGACGACAACCAUGCAGCACCUCUGCCGGCUCCCUUGCGGGUCAGCCAAUGUUUCCAUCGGCUUACCACCGGUAGUUCAAGCCCAGGUAAGGUUCUUCGCGUUGCGUCGAAUUAAACCACAUGCUCCGCUGCUUGUGCGGGCCCCCGUCAAUUCCUUUGAGUUUCAGCCUUGCGGCCGUACUCCCCAGGCGGGGCACUUAAUGCGUUAGCGACGACACUCAGGGGGUCGCUCCCCCAAGCAUCUAGUGCCCAUCGUUUACGGCGUGGACUAC
This 382-nucleotide unclassified non-coding RNA is filed under the name uncultured bacterium. RNAcentral's name for it is "contains 16S-23S intergenic spacer region". The record is from RNAcentral.